This 406-nucleotide ribosomal RNA is filed under the name uncultured bacterium. Its description in RNAcentral is "partial 16S ribosomal RNA". It matches the Rfam family "Bacterial small subunit ribosomal RNA", at positions 30 to 526 of the family's 1533-position model. The record is from RNAcentral.
AUUGAACGCUGGCGGCGGGCCUAACACAUGAAAGUCGAACGAGUGGCGGACGGGUGAGUAAUGUCUGGGUAACUGCCCGAUGGAGGGGGAUAACUACUGGAAACGGUAGCUAAUACCGCAUAUCAUCGGAUGUGCCAAGAUGGGAUUAGCUAGUAGGUUGGGUAACGGCUCACAUGGGCGACGAGCCCUAGCUGGGCUGAGAGGGUGACCAGCCACACUGGAACUGAGACACGGUCCAGACUCCUACGGGAGGCAGCAGUGGGGAAUAUUGCACAAUGGGCGCAAGCCUGAUGCAGCCAUGCCGCGUGUAUGAAGAAGGCCUUCGGGUGGUAAAGUACUGUCAGCGAGGAGGCGUUACUCGCAGAAGAAGCACCGGCUAACUCCGUGCCAGCAGCCGCGGUAAUAC